UACGGAGGGUGCAAGCGUUAAUCGGAAUUACUGGGCGUAAAGCGCGCGUAGGCGGUUAUUUAAGUCAGAUGUGAAAGCCCCGGGCUCAACCUGGGAAUGGCAUUUGAGACUGGAUGGCUAGAGUGUGGUAGAGGUGAGUGGAAUUUCAGGUGUAGCGGUGAAAUGCGUAGAGAUCUGAAGGAACAUCAGUGGCGAAGGCGACUCACUGGGCCAUUACUGACGCUGAGGUGCGAAAGCGUGGGGAGCAAACAGG
RNAcentral lists this unclassified non-coding RNA (253 nucleotides) under uncultured Gammaproteobacteria bacterium. RNAcentral's name for it is "contains 16S-23S intergenic spacer region". It matches the Rfam family "Bacterial small subunit ribosomal RNA", at positions 524 to 776 of the family's 1533-position model. Lineage: Bacteria; Pseudomonadati; Pseudomonadota; Gammaproteobacteria. The record is from RNAcentral.